CAAUUUUGUAAAAGAAAAUAAAAUACGUAUUAAAAUAAUUGGUAAUUUGUCAUAUGUUAACGAAAAUUAUAGGAAAAUUAUAUAUAAUAUAGAAGAAAGAACAAAGGGCUUUGACAACUUAACUUUGAACAUAUUUUUUUCGUACACUAGUAAAAAUGAAAUGAGCUUGUGCGAAUUUAAUCCCAACUUAUAUUAUGACACAUGCAAGGAAUUGUUACAAGAACGUAACAUUAAUUAUUCUUCAUCUCCUAUAGAAAAAAACCAAAACGACAACGAGUCUUCAAAAAAAAAUAAUAAUAAAUGAAAAAAAAAAAUUUAAGAACAAUAUUCAAAUGAAAUGCUAUUGUGGCAAAUACUUUUAUUUAGAUGACCCUGAGAAAUUAAAAAUAAUUAAUUACCAUGACAAGUUACUUACUUCCAAGCUACCCCCGCCUAACAUUCUCAUACGAACGUCUGGCGAACAUAGAUUAUCGGAUUUUAUGUUAUAUCAAAUUUCAGAGUUUACCGAAAUUUAUUUUAUCAAUGAAUACUGGCCAUUUUUUAACUUUUUACAGUUUAUAUAUGUUAUUUUACACUAUACAAUUUUCCAAACAACUAAUUUUCUCUUUUCUUACUCUAACCCCUGUCAACAUUAGCUUUUAUUUAUUUUUUUUUUUUUGUUAAAUAUGCUACAUAAAAAAAAAUAUAUAUAUAUAUAUAUAUAUAUAUAUAUUUAUAUAUGCAUAUAUUUAAAAACAGUUUUUACAAGAUAACAUAUUCGAAUGAAACCUUUUUGGUUAAUCAUGUUUUUAUUAUUAAAAAAAAAAAUUUUAAAAUACGCAUUAAAAAAAUAAAAUGGAACAAAAAAGUACA
RNAcentral lists this long non-coding RNA (852 nucleotides) under Piliocolobus tephrosceles (Ugandan red Colobus). RNAcentral describes it as "lncRNA (ENSPTEG00000020540.1)". The record is from RNAcentral. Lineage: Eukaryota; Metazoa; Chordata; Mammalia; Primates; Cercopithecidae.